Molecule: ribosomal RNA, 706 nt
Filed under: uncultured bacterium
Lineage: Bacteria
Description: bacterial SSU rRNA
Rfam family: Bacterial small subunit ribosomal RNA
Source: RNAcentral
GAUAACGCUGGCGGCGUGCCUAACACAUGCAAGUCGAACGCGCUGAGCAAUCAGCGAGUGGCGGACGGGUGAGUAACACGUGGGUAACCUACCCCCUGGUGAGGAAUACCGGCGAGAAAUCGUCGACAACACCGCAUACGCUUCCUUGGGGAAGCAAAGCUCCGUAAGGGGCGCCAGAGGAUGGGCCUGCGGCCGAUUAGCUAGUUGGGGAGGUAAAAGCCCCCCAAGGCGACGAUCGGUAGCUGGUCUGAGAGGAUGAUCAGCCACACUGGGAUUGAGAACGGCCCAGACUCCUACGGGAGGCAGCAGUGAGGAAUUUUCGGCAAUGGGCGAGAGCCUGACCGAGCAACGCCGCGUGCAGGAAGAAGGUCUUCGGAUCGUAAACUGCUUUUCUCGGGGACGAGCUACGGACGGUACCCGAGGAAGAAGCCCCGGCUGACUACGUGCCAGCAGCCCGCGGUAAUACGUAGGGGGCGAGCGUUGUCCGGAGUUACUGGGCGUAAAGCGCCCGCAGGCGGUCGGUCGCGUUUGAGGUAACAGCUCCUGGCUUACCUGGGAGANCGUCUCAAAGACGGGCUGACUUUAAGGACCAGAAAAGGACACGGAAUUCCCGGUGGAGUGGUGAAAUGCGUUAGAUAUCCGGAGGAACACCAAAGCCAGCAGUGUCUGAUGGUACCUGACCUCNAGGGCGAAACUAGGGACGAAC